CGGGAGGCAGCAGUGGGGAAUCUUGCACAAUGGAGGAAACUCUGAUGCAGCGAUGCCGCGUGAGUGAAGAAGGCCCUUGGGUUGUAAAGCUCUUUCGUCGGGGAAGAAAAUGACUGUACCCGAACAAGAAGGUCCGGCUAACUUCGUGCCAGCAGCCGCGGUAAUACGAAGGGACCUAGCGUAGUUCGGAAUUACUGGGCUUAAAGAGUUCGUAGGUGGUUGAAAAAGUUGGUGGUGAAAUCCCAGAGCUUAACUCUGGAACUGCCAUCAAAACUUUUCAGCUAGAGUAUGAUAGAGGAAAGCAGAAUUUCUAGUGUAGAGGUGAAAUUCGUAGAUAUUAGAAAGAAUACCAAUUGCGAAGGCAGCUUUCUGGAUCAUUACUGACACUGAGGAACGAAAGCAUGGGUAGCGAAGAGGAUUAGAUACCCUCGUAGUCCUUGCCGUAAACGAUGUGUGUUAGACGUUGGAAAUUUAUUUUCAGUGUCGCAGCGAAAGCGAUAAACACACCGCCUGGGGAGUACGACCGCAAGGUUAAAACUCAAAUGAAUUGACGG
Molecule: ribosomal RNA, 554 nt
Filed under: uncultured bacterium
Lineage: Bacteria
Description: bacterial SSU rRNA
Rfam family: Bacterial small subunit ribosomal RNA
Source: RNAcentral